ACAUUAAGGUGGUACCCAACACUUGCACUAAAAUUAAUUUGGCUCGUUUAAUUUUCAUAAAAUUUUGUCAAAGUACUUACUUUGACCCUUUAACAAAAAUAUAAAAAUUUCAAAAAUUUUGAACCAACCGUUUUGUCAGAAAAAUUACACUGGUUAUAUAGCAGUUUGACAAACACCAAUUUUGAUCAUUGAGAAGCUUAAUAAUCCUUUUACAACAUAACGUAAUUAAAACGUUUAGCUGACUUUACAGAGUUAUCUCCCUGUAGUGU
This 269-nucleotide long non-coding RNA is filed under the name Mytilus galloprovincialis (Mediterranean mussel). The record is from RNAcentral. Lineage: Eukaryota; Metazoa; Mollusca; Bivalvia; Mytilida; Mytilidae.